UAACUGACGCUCAUGGACGAAACUUAGGGGAGCGAAAGGGAUUAGAUACCCCUGUAGUCCUAGCCGUAAACGAUGAACACUAGGUGUCGGGGGAAUCGACCCCCUCGGUGUCGUAGCUAACGCGUUAAGUGUUCCGCCUGGGGAGUACGCACGCAAGUGUGAAACUCAAAGGAAUUGACGGGGGCCCGCACAAGCGGUGGAGUAUGUGGUUUAAUUCGAUGCAACGCGAAGAACCUUACCAGGGUUUGACAUCCUGCGAAUCCCUUAGAAAUUUGGGAGUGCCUUCGGGAGCGCAGAGACAGGUGGUGCAUGGCUGUCGUCAGCUCGUGUCGUGAGAUGUUGGGUUAAGUCCCGCAACGAGCGCAACCCACGUCUUUAGUUGCCAGCAUUGAGUUGGGCACUCUAGAGAGACCGCCGGUGAUAAACCGGAGGAAGGUGUGGAUGACGUCGAGUCAUCAUGCCCCUUACAUCCUGGGCUACACACGUACUACAAUGCUACGGACAAAGGGUUGCAAACUCGCGAGAGCUAGCUAAUCCCAUAAACCGUGGCUCAGUUCAGAUCGUAGGCUGCAACUCGCCUACGUGAAGGAGGAAUCGCUAGUAAUCGCAGGUCAGCAUACUGCGGUGAAUACGUUCCCGGGCCUUGUACACACCGCCUGUCACACCAUGGAAGUUGGCCACGCCCGAAGUCGUUACUCCAACCCGCAAGGGAGGAGA
Molecule: ribosomal RNA, 717 nt
Filed under: uncultured cyanobacterium
Lineage: Bacteria; Bacillati; Cyanobacteriota
Description: bacterial SSU rRNA
Rfam family: Bacterial small subunit ribosomal RNA
Source: RNAcentral